RNAcentral lists this ribosomal RNA (404 nucleotides) under uncultured bacterium. RNAcentral's name for it is "bacterial SSU rRNA". It matches the Rfam family "Bacterial small subunit ribosomal RNA", at positions 28 to 424 of the family's 1533-position model. The record is from RNAcentral.
GAUGAACGCUAGCGGCAGGCUUAAUACAUGCAAGUCGAGGGGCAGCAGUCCCGCAGCAAUGCGGGAGCUGGCGACCGGCAAACGGGUGCGGAACACGUACAGAACCUUCCUUCGAGCGGGGAAUAGCCCAGAGAAAUUUGGAUUAAUACCCCAUAGCAUUACGAAGUGGCAUCACUUUGUAAUUAAAGAUUUAUCACUCGAAGAUGGCUGUGCGGCNGAUUAGGUAGUUGGCGGAGUAACGGCCCACCAAGCCUUCGAUCAGUAACUGGUGUGAGAGCACGACCAGUCACACGGGCACUGAGACACGGGCCCGACUCCUACGGGAGGCAGCAGUAAGGAAUAUUGGUCAAUGGACGAAAGUCUGAACCAGCCAUGCCGCGUGGAAGAUGAAGGUCCUCUGGAUU